This 253-nucleotide ribosomal RNA is filed under the name uncultured bacterium. RNAcentral describes it as "partial 16S ribosomal RNA". It matches the Rfam family "Bacterial small subunit ribosomal RNA", at positions 524 to 776 of the family's 1533-position model. The record is from RNAcentral.
UACAGAGGGUGCGAGCGUUAAUCGGAAUUACUGGGCGUAAAGCGUGCGUAGACGGUUAUUUAAGUCGGGUGUGAAAGCCCCGGGCUCAACCUGGGAAUUGCACUCGAGACUGAAUAGCUAGGGUACGGUAGAGGGAAGCGGAAUUUCCGGUGUAGCGGUGAAAUGCGUAGAUAUCGGAAGGAACAUCAGUGGCGAAAGCGGCUUCCUGGACCAGUACCGACGUUCAGGCACGAAAGCGUGGGGAGCAAACAGG